This 11742-nucleotide long non-coding RNA is filed under the name Nicotiana benthamiana. Its description in RNAcentral is "long non-coding RNA (NBEN_LNC033080)". Lineage: Eukaryota; Viridiplantae; Streptophyta; Magnoliopsida; Solanales; Solanaceae. The record is from RNAcentral.
AAGAGCAACUCUUCUCAAAAUCUCACUCAAAAAGUGCUGAGUUGGAAUCCCAUUCUAACUAAGAAUGAGUCAUUGCCCUUCUCCGACCCUGACUGCCCAACCUGAGAGCAGACAGCUAAUGCGUUCCACUUAUUGAACAGGGUUCUAUGGUCGGUUCGUGACCCCUGGAUGCCGAAGGCGUCCUUGGGGUGAUCUCGUAGUUCCUACGGGGUGGAGAUGAUGGGGUCGGUCCAUGGAUUUUCCUUCCUUGGAAUCCCAUUCUAACUAAGAAUGAGUCAUUGCCCUUCUCCGACCCUGACUGCCCAACCUGAGAGCAGACAGCUAAUGCGUUCCACUUAUUGAACAUGGUUCUAUGGUCGGUCCGGUUCUAUCAGAUAGGAAGGGUUGUAGCACAAAAUGUACUUCUAAGUAAUUGCCCCAUAGAUCUUAUAUCUAUCUAUAUGAAGAAGAAAUAAUGUAACGGACUUCAUAAAUAACUGAAUGUAAUAAGUCUGCUAGACGAUGCAUAUUGUUACCAUAUCGUUUGCAUUAGUCACAUUUGGCCAUAAAGCUUUCCGCAUUUCCCUCUAUUUUUGGCCAAUAAUAUCCUACUCUAAUUAGAGUUUUUACCAAGGAUCUUUUUCCUGUGUAAUUUUCAUAUUGUCCCUCAUGUACUUCUCUCAUCAUAUUCUCUGUUUGUGAAGGUCCAAGACACCUUGCUAGAGGUCCACCGAACAUCGUUCGAUAUAAGUUGCCUCGAUCCAAAAAAUAACGGGCAGCUUUUCGUCAAAGUGACUGAGUCUUUUUCUUAUCCUCAGGUAGGAUCCCAUUCAGCGAAAGAUUGAUGAUCACGCUUCUCUAAUACCAUGUUAAAUUAUUGAAAUUUACCUCAUUUUAUUUUGAUCGAGUUUCGAAUGAAACAAAUGUAUUAUGGAAGCAUCUUCUUCAUUUGUCACUUUUGCAGCGGAUGCAAGAUUAGCCAGCUCAUUUGCUUCGAUAUUUUCUUCUCUGGGUAUUUGCACAAUAUUCCAAGAUUUGAAUUGUCUGAUCAAAUCUCAUGCUUUUUCCAAUUAUUGUUGCAUCCUUGCCUCUUUAGCUAUAUAAGUUCCUUGCAUUUGAUUACAUACAAGCUGUGAGUCGCUCUUGAUUACAACCUGCUCUAUUCCGAGCUCGCUUUCCAAUUCUAGUCCUACAAUUAGAGCUUCAUAUUUUGCUUCAUUGUUUUAAUGGGAUGACAUUUUAUGGCUUGCCUUACAAUUUCUUCGGAAGGUGGGAUUAGAACAAAUCCUAAGCCCACAUUUAACAUUUGAGGAUCCAUCAGUAAAUAGGGUCCAAGUACCUGGAUUAGACUCGUUGAAUACCUGCAGUUCUUUUUAUGCUUCUGUUACCAUCCCUGGGCUGAUGUCUGCCACAAAAUAUUCCAAAACCUGUGAUUUUAUCGCAGUUAUAGAUUUAUAUGUGAUAUCAUAUUCACUUAGUUCUAUAACCCACCUGGCUAAUCUACAUGAUAAUUCUUGCUUAUGCAAUAUUUUGUAAGGGGUAACCGGUCACUAUAUAGAUAAUGUGACAUUGAAAAUAAGGCCUCAACUUUCUAGAUGUCAUUAUUAAUGCUAAAGCAAAUUUUUCUAAAUGAGGAUAUUGAGUUUCAGCAGCCAAUAAGUACUUGCUAACAUAAUAAACUGGAGAUGGUUUACCUUUGUCUCUCCGAAUUAAUACUACACUUACCCCCACUUCUGAAACAACGAGAUAGAUGUGUAGCCUUUGUCCGUCCAUGGGUUUAGCUAGCAACGGUGGGUUUGACAAGUACGUUUUUAGAUCUUUUAGAGCUUGUUGGCAUUUCUCAGUCUACUUGAAUUGGAUUUUCUUUUUCAAUACUGAAAAGAACUUAAACUUUUCUUCAAAAAUUUAGAAAUAAACCUCCAAAAUGUGUAUAUCCUACUUGUCAACCUAUGUACCUCUUGUUUGCACGUGGCUAUAUCUGUAAUCUCUUCGAUGGCUUUAAUUUGCAUUGGAUUUACUUCAGUUCCUCGAUUAGAAACAAGGAAACCUAAAAGCUUACCAGAAGACACGCCAAAUGCACACCUUUCGGAUUUAACUUCAUAUUGAAUUUGCAGAGAAUCUGAAAUGUAUCUGACAAAUGCUAGGUAUGAUCCCCCACCUGUUCUAACUUGAAUAGCAUAUCAUCGAUAUAAACCUCCAUGGGUUUUCUCAGAUAUUCUUGAAACAUCUUCGUUACUAACCUCUAGAACGUGGUUUCAUCAUUCUUUUAGCCGAAAGGCAUUACUUUGUAACAAUAAGUUACCCUGUCUACAAUAAAGGAAGAUUUUUUCCUCAUCUGAAGGAUCUAUUUUUAUUUGAUUAUAUCCUUAAUUGACAUCUAUAUAACUCAACAAUUUGUGCCGUAUAGUAGCAUCAAUUAGUUUAUAUAUGUGUGAUAAAGGAAAAACAUCUUUAGGGAAAGCUUUAUUCAAGUCAGUAUAGUCUACACAAACUCGCCACUUACCAUUCUUUUUAAGUACCACUACAGUGUUAGCUAGCCAAUUAGUAUAUUUUACCUCACGAAUAGACCCGUUUUUUAAAAUUUUUUGUACCUCAUCCUGAAUCACCUAGUUUUUAAAGGAUUCUUUCUUCCUUUCUUCUAUUUGAUAGGUGGAUAUAUUGGAUCUUCAUUCAGCUUAUGGGUCAUCACCUCUGGUGGUAUACCAGUCAUAUCGAAAUGCGACCAAGCAAAGCAAUCUUUGUUAGCUUUUAAGAAUUCAAUUAACUUACCUUUCAUCUCUAGGCUUAGGUUGGUUCUGAUGUAAACCUUUCUGUCCGUCCAAUGUACAAAUAGCACCACCUCUUCGAGUUCCUCAAUUAUUGUUUUGAAAUUUUCAUUCUCUUCUAGUUUUUGAAUAGUAUCACGCCUUGAGUCUACAUCUGUUUGUCCAUCUCCAAAUGAGGUUUGUGUUGUUAAAUCCUCGACUGAAUUCCAUAAUUGCUAUUUUUCGUCUGCAAUACCAUUUUUUUAGCUUGAAUCUACCAUUGAAUUAAUGCUUCGAGAAGCAUGUUGAUCACUCUGGAUUUCUUAUUCCCCAUUGCAAAGGAUACUUAAUAACCCGAUGUAACAUAGACGGAACAACAGGCAUCUCGUAAAUCCAAUAUCUUCCAAUAAUCAUAUUGUAUGCCAUGUCCAUAUCUAUCACUUAAAAUUUCAUAUCUUUGACUACUCCGUCCGCAAAUAUGGUGAGCACUAUCUCUGCUUUUGAAAACCUCUUUAAUUUUCAAAUCCGAAUAAGGUACGUGCUUUGGGUACCAAUUUGUCAUCAACUUGAAUCUUAUUUACCACUCUUUAAAGAAUGAUAUUUACAGAUCUACCUAGAUCAAUAAAAACUCAUUUGACAUUAGUAUCAUAUACAAGUAAAUAUAUUACCGGUGCAUCAUUAUGUAGGAUCAUCACGCCAUCUGUGUCUGCAUCAUCAGAUGUUAUACUAUCCUCUUCCAAAACUUGCAUACUCUCUAUCUGCGGGUCACCGUGACUUUUGACACUUUUUUUCAGCCAUAUAUGUCACAGUGUUGACCUCCUCUCCUGUGCUUAUCACAUUAAUCGUUCUUUUUGGUGGCAGAGGCUUUGGUGGGUCUUGUUUAUUAUUCAUAUAUGCUUGCUUACUCUUCUCACUAAACAAAUCAGUUAAAUAGCCUUGUUUUAAUAAGUGCUCUACUUCACCUUGUAGCAAUAUGCAAUCUGUUGUUUUAUGAUUGUGAUCAACUGAUCACUAUGAAACUCACACCAAAAAUCUGUGUUUCUUCUGUUGGGGUUCGAUCUCAUUUCUUUUGCCCACCGUAUCUUAUCUCCAUGCUUCUUAAAAUAGCUACCAACUUAGAUGUGCUAACAUUGAAAUUGUAACCACCAAUCUUUGCUUUUGUACUGCAACUGUUUUCCCGUGCUUCUCGCUCCUUUCCAAACUAGGGUGAUGAACCCACAUCUCUUUCCCUCGAUCUGGAACCAUACUUGUGGUUCUCUUCUUUUGAACGUGAAACCCUUCCUACUGGUCCCAUGUAAGGUUUGUACCUGUUUUUACCGGACCUUUUUUCAAUUUCUAAUCACAUCGAACGUACUCUUUCAUCUCCCCAUAGUUGAGUGAUAAUAUCUUUUUCUAUUUGCAGCUUUGUGUUAUACCUUUUGUAAACAUCAUUCAAAGUUGUUUCAGGGAACUCUCAAAGACAUCCUUUGAGCCUUUUUGUGGCUUUUGAGCUUUUUUCAUUUAAGUUGCUUGCCAACACCAUGGCUACCCAAUUAUCCGGUACAUGUGGUAGCAUCAUCCUUUCACGUUGAAAUCUAUCCAAAAAUUUCCUGAGUAGCUCUGUGUCUCCUUGUUUUAUUUUGAAGAUGUCUUCCAUCCUCUAUUCAACUUUCUGAGCUUCGGAGUAUGCUUUUAUAAAAUGAAUAUGUAAGCUCAGUGAAGGAAUCAAUAGAAUUUUCUGGCAAAGCAGACCGUCAUGUUGGUGCUCCUUUUGUGAAUUUUUUGCCAAACUGUUUGACCAACACCGAUUCAAUUUCUUGUUUGGUCAAGUCGUGACCCUUCACGCUAGUUGUAAUACAGUUACAUGAUCAUGCGGGUCAAUUGUCCCGUCAUACUUCGGAAUACCGGGCAUUUUAAACUUUUUUUGAAUCGGCAAGGGAGCGGCACUUGGCUUCCAGGGCUUUUGAUAAUAUUUAUCAAUAUCCACUCUUUUAAUCAUGGGUGGCACACCAGGUAUAUGCUCUAUGGGAUCGUUCCGUUUCUUGAGCUGUUUCUACAAAGUUAGUACUAAACUUUGUAAAUAAGAAUUAUUUGGAGUACUUGACCUUCCAUCACGAGAUUCGCUGGCCUCCACUGCCUGAAUUAGCAAGUCCCGAGCGUGGAUUCUCUAUGGUGGAUGUGUUUUUUUGAGGUAGAGUUGGAGGUGCAGUUGGAAACCCACUAAUAAAAGCUUGGGGAGCAUAGUUGACAUGUUUUGCAAUAAGUUUCUUCAAUGCAUCUUCAGCAGUUUGAUCUCUGCUUAUUGAUUAUUCAUAUGCGAUGCUGAUCUGUCAAGUGUUCCUUCUCGGGAGUGUUGAGGAUAAUUUUUGGAUGAAGGGAUUGGAGUAUCAUUCUCUUGUAUAUUCUGUUAGUUCAACUGGUUUUGUUGGUCUUGUUGGUUUUGUUGGUUGUUGUCAUUAGCAGUCGACAUAAUUUUUUGACAGAAAAAUAAAUUUGGAAAGUGAAAAGAUUAUUAGAUUCCCGGUUAUGGAACUAAUUUGUUUAACCAAAAAAUGGGUAUUUCGAUCAAGAACUAUUUUUAGAAAUACUCGGGCUACUGAUAAUCAAAAAAUUCUAUGUUCUCACAAUUAUAAGAAAGAAAAUUAUAUUAUGAAAUAGCAAAGUAGUAAAUAAAAGCAAAAAGAAAGUAAUUGUAUUCCAAUAAUAAUCAAAACGUGUCGUACAAGUGUAAAUCCCUUCCCUUAUAUAGGAAUCUAUAAGUACAAUAUUUCUUCCUUUUAUGAAUGUAUCAUUAUGAAUAUUAAUGAUAUUAAUAAGGCAUUAUAAUUGGUAACCGUAACUGUCCAGGAAGAUUCCGUGUGUAUGACCAUUCAUGCUCAUUAAUUGGUUAUUGAUGAAUUUUGCUUCUUUAUUGUCUUGAUUCGUUCUGCCGGUGUCUCUUCGUAUAACAAUUCAAACUUAAGCGAAUAUACCUCUUUUAUCUCGUGGAUGAUUUGCUCGUAUCUAUUACGACUCGUGUCUCUUUUAAUGCAUUUCUUCAGCUGUCACUUUUUUAAUAAUCCAUGUGUCUUGUCUCAGCCACUCAUAUUAAUCCAUGUGCAAUAUUUAUUUACUUUUACUAAUGCACAAGCAAUGUAAAGUCUCAAAAAACAAUAGCGGAUGAGAAAAUGACUAAUAGGCGAAAGGAAGCAUCUUCUAUCAGAAACUUGUUUAGUUAAUAAAAUUUAUUUUUCUCUUUCUUUAGAUUUUACAGAAAAUGGCCCUCAGAGAAGAAAAUAGAGUGUAUAUCAUCCCUGCAGACUUGCCUUGUCUUGUUCCUUUUCCUCAAUGGGGUUAUCUUAGUGGGAACUUAGGAAGAUUAAAGAGAGAAAAGAAAGAAUUGCUUAUGUUGAAGCAAGUAAUAUAUUGAAAGUGGUCGCCCUAAUCGAGUGUUAACACUCUGUCAUGCUUACCAAUUUUAGUUGUCCUCUAAUGCUUUUAGCUAUUAGCAUGUGACUAUCACUAUCAUCAUCAUAAUGUAUUGGUUCUUUGGGCUAUAAUCUUCAUUUUGGACAUUCUAUAAUUCUUGAAUGUCUGUUGAAUAUAUUAUUGUUUAACCAUAAAUUAAAAUUUCGGUCAUAACUUAUUUUAGAAGAACUCGGGUUACUGAUAAUCAAAUAGAGAUAAGAAUAAUUGAAAAAUAAUAUCUGAAUGUAAAUUAAAUUAGUGUAUUCCAACAGUAUUUCAUGUCCUUACAAAUGAUCAGUCUUUCUCUUUUAUAGCUAUUUCUAGGUGAUACGUUUUGUUAUUGUCAUAAUAAGGUCAUUAUAGAUAAUUAAUGACAUUUAAUGCUACGUGAUAGUUGGUAAUCAUUGUAAUUCAAUACAGAUUCUCUAACGUUUUCUAUAAUUAAUGCCAAUUAAUUACUGAUAGUACGUAUCCGUACACUUUUUUGCUAUCAGGUUCAUUCUCUUAUCUUGAAUUUCGAAUAUAAAAUAGUUUGAGCAUUGAAUCUCUUGGAUCUCUACUCGUGUCUAUUGUAACUCGUGCCUCUGUAACUAUUCAUUGCUCAUGCCUGUUGAACACGUGCCUCUUUAACUAUUUUUUGCCAAUUAUCAUCUUUGACCAAUCUAUAUGUCGUGACAUGUCACUUUCCAAUCACUUCUAUGUAUGAACUCAAUUUUCCCUAAUACAUAUAGUCUUCCCACUUGCCAUUUAUUCUUCAAUAGAAUAUUUGGGAAGUGGAUCUCAUUAAAGCGGGAAUAUUUGCCGACAUUAAUUCUUCUCUGCUUCAUUUUUCGCUAUCAUUUAAUAUUCGUAACAUGUGGCAUUUUUUUGUUUUGAUCUACAGCUCUUCAAUGACUUUUAAGGCUUUCUUUACGUCUUCACCAACUACAGAGCGACAGUUCUCAUUAUGAUGCUUCCAUCAUUGCACCUGUUUCCUUCGACGGUUGCUUUUGUGUAUAAAUAUAACUUUGUUACCUUUUGUCUUUAACAAAAGGUUUAGAGUAUUCAACUCUUCUUUUCUUCUUCCUCAAAAUAUUCAAUUCUUGUUGCUUCUUCCUCAUACUACUAUGUAGUCCUCAAACCCUAAUGCUAGGAGGGUUCCAAGUACUAAUAACCUUCCUCUUGCUCCUGUUAGAAGCAAGGGGAGGAGGGGUAGAGUUUUUAGUUUAGGAUCUUCAUCUUCACGAGGUUCUUCUCUUCCUUCCACAAGUUCUACUCCGCCUUCUAGAAUCAGAAGUUCUCUUUCUCAAAGGUCUUCAUCUAGAGGUAAAGAAUCCUCUGAACCUCUUUGUGAACCUGUGGUAGAUGAUAUUGUUCCUACUGAACUGUCAUUUUAUAAUGAUAGAGAGACCAUUAGAAACCAAGUUUCUUCCAUGUAUUCAUUAGAAUGUGUUGACAUUUAUCCGACUUAAAUCACUAAAGGUUUAAUUUCUGUAGUCAUAGAGAUUUUAACUGGAGUCAUGACUUCCCCAUUAUUAUUCCCAACACAAACAAAAGAAUCACAUUUUAUUUGACUGGGUUUCUUUUGUAUAGACAUACCCUUUCACAUUGAAUUUUAAGCCUCCUAUUGAUCCUGUAUUCAUCGAAUUCUGUCACCUUUUUAUGUUUGUUUAGGAUAAAUUGGCCCUAUCGUAUGGAGGGUUGUUUUUUGUUUGAGGCAUUUUGCAAACAUGGCUGGCGUGCCUUUUACCUUUUCUCAUUUAGUUCACUUCUAUUCUCCCAAACUCUUCCGCCAAGGGAUUUUUACUUUAGUUGCGAGAAGAAAAAGAGUUCUGGUCAGGCCAAAAGAUGAUAAGGACCGUGGCUGGUAUGCCACGUUUGUUGCUAUCCCCACUGUUAGUUUAGUGGAUGAAGAGAAUGUUAUAUUCCCCGAGAAAUGGAAUUUUGCACGUGAGUUUUCUUUUGUAACUUUUCCAGGCCUUUUCCCCUCUUAAUUUUGAUGGUUGCCAUUUUAACUUUUCUUCAUUUUCUCUUUUAGAAACCAUGUGAAUAAUUGAUGAGAUUCCCAAUUUCCGUGGUUGGGUAGGAAAGUUAUUAAACGUUGCUCCGAUGGAAGGUAUAUCUUGUAAAAACCUUUCUCAUCGGUUUGGUUGGAAAGUUAAAAAUCAUCGUAAGAAGUUUUUUUUAUAAAUUUAUUUACUUCUUUCUUCAGAAAUUAUCUUGAUCCUUCUUUUUUCAGGAUUUCCCAUUCAUGGCAUAAGAUCCAAGGCUGUCGUGGCUUCUAGAAUUUCUUUGGAAAGGGCCCAAGAGAUAGUCUCGGGCUCUUCAUCGAAAAGGAAAGAUACCACUAAGCAAAAUUCUGAAGAAGAGGGAGAGAAAGAAGAGGACUCUUUGGUAAGAACUCCACGAGCUAGAAGAUGCUUUAUUUCAGAAGAUAAAGCACCUCCUCCUCACUCUGUUCCUCUUACCAAGCCUGUUGAAGUUGCUUUGGUGAUUUCUUAUGAUGAUACUCCUGCAGCUGCUCGUGAUGAUAUUGCUCAGAUUUUUGCUCGUGGCUUUGAUAAUGAAAACUUUGACCUAAUUUUGAUGAAAUGCCCCUUGCCUCACUCUCCAUGUCUGCUUCUGCGGUACCUUCUUUAUUAGUCUUGACUGCUACCAUCAUUGUUCCUUCCCAGGCUAUUUUGACUUCUUCUACAGUUCCUCCCCCGAUUGCUCAUCAUAUUGAGGUUGGUCCAUCAAGUAGAAGUGAAGCUAUGAAGCAAGUUAUCAUCGAAGUUCCUGCCAAUUGUAACCUUUUGAAGAAGUCAGGUAGGGUUGAUGUGUGGUUGAAGCCUUUGAUUGGUUUGGUUGAGAAAGACAAGCUCGAGAGUCAUAACUCUUUGACUUGGAUGAACGACAUAGUGAAAUCUUCCUUGAAGGUAUUCUUUUUCAAACUUUACAUCAUUCUUUUUCUUUUUACUUAAGGUUCUUACCCUCUUCCCCCUUCCCUUUAGAUAAAUUUAAUUGGCACAUAGAUGAUGAAGAGGGUUUCCCACAUAGAACAAUUAAUGCACGACUACCAAGUUGAAGCAGACAACUGGCGGGAACGGUAUGAAAUUCUCUAUAUAGACAUGGAAGUGUUAGCUGAGGGUAAGCGUAACUUGGAGCAACAACUGAGGGUUUUAAGCUCAGAAUUAGCAAUGAAGAAGGCACACUCAAGUCAAGCUGAUAAAGACAAGAAUCUCCUUGAAACAACUUUCUCCGAGCAGUUUUCUAAAGCCAGUGAAGAAAUUAGAGAACUGAAGGCUCUGUUGGAUAAGACAGAAGCUUAUGCCGGUGAACUUGUGCAAACGCUUUCUUAGACCCAGGAAGAUCUCUGUGAGUCCUCCACUAAGGUUUUAGAGAGUUCAUUCGCGCCUUUGCAAGCUUAUUAUGAUUCUACCCUGGAUGAAAAUGAAAAGCUUAGAGAUGAGAUUGAUCAAUGGGAGAGAGAGUACAAGAAUCUUGAAGAAAAGACUGAAAUUGAAGUGAGUUGGGAAAUUCUAAACACGCACCAUGAUACCCUGAUGGAAGUCAGCCAGGAGGGAUUUAAUUUGGAUGCUGAGCUUGCCAAAAUAAAAGAGACUAUCGAAAAAACUCAGCAAAGCCAAAAUUUUCCCUCUCCUAUGGCUAAUAUUCCCAAGCCUAUUGAAUAUGAAACAGGUGUGGUCGGCGUUCCAACUCCUUCAAGCCAUACCGAACGUUCUGCUACUGACCCUGUAUUAGAUUCUACUUCAACCCCUUAGUGAAACGUUUAUGAUGUGUUACUUCUUUUUUUUUAUUUCUUGGUGGAAUGUGGUUAUCACCCUUGGUCCCAUUUGAGGGUUUGUUGAAACAUCAAGUCCCCGGACCUUUUUCGAGGCGUUCUGUAAAAAUAACUCUUAGUUUAUGACUAAGUUUAUAUUUAGUCUAAUCUUUUUAAUAUUAAGAAGUUUUCGUAGUUAUUUUGAACUUCUGUUUUUCUCAUUCUUGCCUUUAUUUAAGGACUUACUGGAUAAUUUGAACAUUUAUUUUGCAAAAUGCUUUUUUAACUUCAUGAAUAUUUAAAUCAAUCAUGAAUUUUACAAAAGAGGGUGCUUUUUUAUUCAACACUUAACGAAAAAUACGUUUCAGCUUCAUAAUGAUGUAAAUGUAAGAUAAAAGAAAUAGGAAUACACAUAUUUCUUGAAAUAACUUUGACAAGUUUUUAUUUGAACUUUGUCAAGUUUUAAAUAACACCUUACCUGUAUUUAAAUAUUUUCUUUAACUUUUUAAUAACUGUUUUCUUUUCAAUCGAUUUCAAAAAAAGAAAAUAAAACACAAGGUUUUUUAAUAUAAUCUGUUUCAGUACAUUGCCUUUAAUCUAACAAUGAUGAGGUUUUCCUUGGCUUUGGCUCGUAUCUUACCUCUGCACUUGACUCAUUCAAUGAGUAAACUUUUCAGGCUUUAACUUUGAUUAUUUUUCAAUCUUCUUUGCCUUCAUUAUACAUAUGUCUAUGUAUAUUAUAUAGUCCCCCAAGUAUUUGAGCUUUGAAGUAUGAAGUCUCGAGAAUUUGAUUAUUCCUCCCAUGCGGUCCUUUUCCUGAAAAGGAAAAACAAAUGGGACUCGAAGGUACGAUUUAGAGCACUUGAUUAUUCCUCUUAUUUGGUCCUUUUCCUGAAAAGAAAUAAAACAAACGGGACUCGAAGGUAUGAUUAUAGAUGAAGACUGCUUAACCGGUCUCAAUUUCUAUCAGAAUAGUUGUAACCCUAGAAUGGGAAUUUAAUCUAUUCCACGUUCCUUGCAGGUCGUGAUUCAUGAUUUAGUAUGGGUUAGUUUUUUUCCAAUCAUUUAAAAUCGUUAGUAAAAUUUAACAAUUCAAACACUAAAAUUUUAAAAUGAGGAUACAUGAUUGUGGGUACUCCUUAGAAAUAGUACGUCAUUCCAUUGUGAAGGUAGUAUUUUUCCAUCCAAUGUUUCCAGUUUGUACGCUCUCUUUCCUACUAUGCCGUAAAUCUUGUAAGGUCCUUCCCAAGUUGGACUUAAUUUUCCCGCAUUAGCCACUCUUAUGGACUGAAAGACCUUCUUGAGUACGAAGUCCCUACUUUUGAAGUAUCUUACGUGAGUUUUUCGGUAAUAAUAUCAUCCAUGACUUGUUUUGUGUUGUCAUCCUUAUUAAUGCAGCUUCCCUUUUUCCUUCAAGUAGAUCAAGGUUUAGUCGCAUUUCUUCUUUUUUGGAUUCCUCAGUUGCUUAUUAUAUCUCGUGCUAUGUUCCCCUAUCUCCACUGGGAUGAAUACUUCGGCUUUAUACACCAGUGAAAUGGUUUUUCACCCGUGCUUAUUUUUGAUAUUGUGUGAUAUGUCCAUAAAACACUAGGUAGAAAUUCUGUCCAAUUACCUUUAGAUUCUUCCAAUCAUUUCUUGAAAUUGUUUAUUAUGACUUUAUUCAUCAAUUCAACUUGUCCAUUACCCAUUGGAUGAUAAGGUGUUGAGGUAAUCCUUUUAAUUUUCCAACUUUAAGAAAAAUCUGUAAUUUGCACGCUUAUAAAUUGAGGGUCAUUAUCACAUACGAUUUCCUUUGGUACACCAAAUCGACAUAUGAUAUUUCGCCAAAUGAAAUCUCUGACUUCCUUUUCU